UGCCAGCAGCCGCGGUAAUACGGAGGGUGCGAGCGUUAAUCGGAAUUACUGGGCGUAAAGCGCACGCAGGCGGUUUGUUAAGCUAGAUGUGAAAGCCCCGGGCUCAACCUGGGAUGGUCAUUUAGAACUGGCAGACUAGAGUCUUGGAGAGGGGAGUGGAAUUCCAGGUGUAGCGGUGAAAUGCGUAGAUAUUGGAAGGAACACCGAUGGCGAAGGCACUUUACUGGGCUAUUACUAACACUCAGAGACGAAAGCUAGGGUAGCAAAUGGGAUUAGAUA
Molecule: ribosomal RNA, 279 nt
Filed under: uncultured bacterium
Lineage: Bacteria
Description: partial 16S ribosomal RNA
Rfam family: Bacterial small subunit ribosomal RNA
Source: RNAcentral